GAUGAACGCUGGCGGCGUGCCUAAUACAUGCAAGUCGAGCGAACGGACGAGAAGCUUGCUUCUCUGAUGUUAGCGGCGGACGGGUGAGUAACACGUGGAUAACCUACCUAUAAGACUGGGAUAACUUCGGGAAACCGGAGCUAAUACCGGAUAAUAUUUUGAACCGCAUGGUUCAAAAGUGAAAGACGGUCUUGCUGUCACUUAUAGAUGGAUCCGCGCUGCAUUAGCUAGUUGGUAAGGUAACGGCUUACCAAGGCAACGAUGCAUAGCCGACCUGAGAGGGUGAUCGGCCACACUGGAACUGAGACACGGUCCAGACUCCUACGGGAGGCAGCAGUAGGGAAUCUUCCGCAAUGGGCGAAAGCCUGACGGAGCAACGCCGCGUGAGUGAUGAAGGUCUUCGGAUCGUAAAACUCUGUUAUUAGGGAAGAACAUAUGUGUAAGUAACUGUGCACAUCUUGACGGUACCUAAUCAGAAAGCCACGGCUAACUACGUGCCAGCAGCCGCGGUAAUACGUAGGUGGCAAGCGUUAUCCGGAAUUAUUGGGCGUAAAGCGCGCGUAGCGGUUUUUUAAGUCUGAUGUGAAAGCCCACGGCUCAACCGUGGAGGGUCAUUGGAAACUGGAAAACUUGAGUGCAGAAGAGGAAAGUGGAAUUCCAUGCGUAGCGGUGAAAUGCGCAGAGAUAUGGAGGAACACCAGUGGCGAAGGCGACUUUCUGGUCUGUAACUGACGCUGAUGUGCGAAAGCGUGGGGAUCAAACAGGAUUAGAUACCCUGGUAGUCCACGCCGUAAACGAUGAGUGCUAAGUGUUAGGGGGUUUCCGCCCCUUAGUGCUGCAGCUAACGCAUUAAGCACUCCGCCUGGGGAGUACGACCGCAAGGUUGAAACUCAAAGGAAUUGACGGGGACCCGCACAAGCGGUGGAGCAUGUGGUUUAAUUCGAAGCAACGCGAAGAACCUUACCAAAUCUUGACAUCCUUUGACAACUCUAGAGAUAGAGCCUUCCCCUUCGGGGGACAAAGUGACAGGUGGUGCAUGGUUGUCGUCAGCUCGUGUCGUGAGAUGUUGGGUUAAGUCCCGCAACGAGCGCAACCCUUAAGCUUAGUUGCCAUCAUUAAGUUGGGCACUCUAAGUUGACUGCCGGUGACAAACCGGAGGAAGGUGGGGAUGACGUCAAAUCAUCAUGCCCCUUAUGAUUUGGGCUACACACGUGCUACAAUGGACAAUACAAAGGGCAGCGAAACCGCGAGGUCAAGCAAAUCCCAUAAAGUUGUUCUCAGUUCGGAUUGUAGUCUGCAACUCGACUACAUGAAGCUGGAAUCGCUAGUAAUCGUAGAUCAGCAUGCUACGGUGAAUACUUUCCCGGGUUC
Molecule: ribosomal RNA, 1371 nt
Filed under: uncultured bacterium
Lineage: Bacteria
Description: bacterial SSU rRNA
Rfam family: Bacterial small subunit ribosomal RNA
Source: RNAcentral